UACCCGCAGCCCGAGUGGUGCUCGUUAUUAUUGGGCCUAAAACGUCCGUAGCCGGCCUUGUAAAUCCAUGUGGAAAUCGGAGGGCUCAACCCUCCGAAGGGCGUGGACACUGCAAGGCUUGGGACUGGGUGAGUUCGGAGGUACUUCCGGGGUAGGGGUGAAAUCCUGUAAUCCUGGAAGGACCACCAGUGGCGAAGGCGUCCGAAUAGAACGGAUCCGACGGUCAGGGACGAAGCCCUGGGGCGCAAAC
This 250-nucleotide ribosomal RNA is filed under the name uncultured Thermoplasmata archaeon. RNAcentral's name for it is "partial 16S ribosomal RNA". It matches the Rfam family "Archaeal small subunit ribosomal RNA", at positions 474 to 724 of the family's 1478-position model. The record is from RNAcentral. Lineage: Archaea; Methanobacteriati; Thermoplasmatota; Thermoplasmata.